Molecule: long non-coding RNA, 463 nt
Filed under: Nicotiana benthamiana
Lineage: Eukaryota; Viridiplantae; Streptophyta; Magnoliopsida; Solanales; Solanaceae
Description: long non-coding RNA (NBEN_LNC023176)
Source: RNAcentral
GAUACUGGUGGGAUGGAUUCAGGAGUGGUGAAGGAUUAUGUAAUGGAAUGGAUUGGGAAUGAGAUCAAGAAGGAGAGGCCAAAGACUGAGUGGAUUGGGGCUUCGUCAAGUUCAGGAGUGGUUGGUAAAACAGAAGAGUGGGAAUGAGAUCAAGAAGGAGAGGCCAAAGACUGAGUGGAUUGGGGCUUCGUCAAGUUCAGGAGUGGUUGGUAAAACAGAAAAGAAGAAGCAUAAGAAGCGAUUAGAUUGGUGGGUUUCCUUGGAUGAUGAAAAGAAUGUGAAAAAGGAGAAGAGGAGGCCUGCAAGGGAGUGGUGGAAGGAGGAGUAUUGUGAGGAGCUUGCCAGGAAGAAAAAGAAAAAGAAGAAGCAACAGGGUGGAAUAGGUUUAGUUAGUGAUGAUUGUCAGAGUGACUCUUGGUGGCCAAGGGAUGAUGAAUUGUAUGCUGAUAGGAAGAAGAAAAGG